This is a long non-coding RNA of Myodes glareolus (Bank vole), 2959 nucleotides long. RefSeq lists it as uncharacterized. Lineage: Eukaryota; Metazoa; Chordata; Mammalia; Rodentia; Cricetidae. The record is from RefSeq and is a predicted model, not a curated record.
UUCUCUAUUUCUUUUUCACCUCAUAGGUCCUUUGUGUAUAUAUUAUGGCUUCUGGUUUUGUGUUUCUCUGGGAUUCCUGUGUGUGCAACUGUGUACGGAUUUGCAUCUCUGUGAUUUCUUGUGCUUUUUCUUUGGCUUUUUUUUUUCUUGGUCAGUGGCUUUGUCCUAUUCCAAUCCGUUUGUUUUUGUUUUCCCUUACUGUAUUUUAUUUUAUUAUUAUUUCUAGAUGCCUAUUUGCUUUCUAAGGAGAGACAGACAGGGUGUGGAGUUGGAUGGGAGGGGAAGUGAGGAGGAGCUGGUAAGACUAGGGGAGGGGAAGUCAUAAUCAGACUAUAUUGCAUGGCAAAAAAACUAUUUUCAAUAAGAGAAAAUGUUUUUUUAAAAAUCAAAUAAAUAAAAUGUAUGGUAAUUUACAGAAAGGGUAGACCCUUUUAAUUUGAGAGAUAAAGAAGGAAAGAGCAAGGAGGAGAAGGGGAAAGGGAAAGAAAGGAAGUCAGAAGGCAGAGGUCACAGCUGCCUCCCACCAACCUAUUCCCACUUUGCACCCCAGUCUGCUCUACCUCUUCAGACCUUCAGGGUGAAGCACAGCAACGCAGGCAAAGCUGCUGCGAAAGACCGCAGACGAAGGACUCAGAACUCAUUAGCAGCAAAAAUCUAUACCUGAAAGGAUUAGCUAUGAAGAAUUGAAAGAAAAUGAAAGCGAGCCAGCCUUCUGCUGCUUCCUGUCCUUAACUGUUUCAACCCAGCCGUUUCCAAGGUGCCUUCCAAAAUUAACAAUAAGGUUCCACUAUGGAUGUUUCUGGGAGUCACAAUGAGCUACUGAAAACCCAAGGCACGCUGACCACACAGCACAUCGAGCAGAUGCCACCACCCUUGCAGACCUGAAAUGACCACCACUUAAGCAACGCCUGCUCAAACCACAACUGCAACCAUUUAUUAAGAGCCCGCUACCCACGCAGCUCUGAGCAAGGACCUCAGAGCACUCACGCGUGCUAAGGACUGACCCUUCGCUUCUAUUUAUAUAGGAGGAGAUAGGGUCUGGCAACUUGCCUGAGGCUGGGCAGGUCACAAGUGACAGUACCAAGAUUAGAGCCCUCACCAAAUAUGUAAAAGACCCAUUGGCAAUGAGACUCACAUCACAUGAGUGUCGGUGAAGUGCUAAAGGUCGUGUGAUUACAAGAUUCAAAGGGCAAAGGCGAUGAUGUUUCUGAAGUGGGAGAUGGUGUGAUAUAGAAGGGGGAGGAAGUAGAAGCUUAUACAGCUCUGCCAUGAUCAAGCCAAAUGACCUUAGCAAAGGGUCCAUUCAUGCUUUCGUUCAAUGAAUACUCGUUAAGUAUCUCGUCUGUGCUUAGCAUUCAUUCAACAACAGUGAGCAAAGCAAGCAUGGGUCUCCUUGUGGUACUUUCAAGCCCUCGAGGAUCUUAGAAGGCAGAGACUAUCUCACCUAAUUCUCCCUUUGACACAGGGAAGGACCGAGACCCUUUCUUGCAGGGUGGGACUUGCCCAAAGUUACGCGAUGAGUUGUUCAGUGGCAGAGCUGAACCGAAAGUCGGUUCUCGUCUAUAUUUCUCUGUUUAGUUUUUGUCUGGACGGUGAGAGCUGAGUAGUCAAAUCUCCCACUAGCAGUGUGUGAGGGGGGCAGAUGGGGAUGGAGACAGGAGGGAUCGGGGUGAGGGUGGAAGGAGAGUGAACUGGGAGAGGUGGACAGAAUCGCAGGGCACCCAGGGAAUGGUGUAAAGACCAAAUGCAGUGGAAACUUCCUGGAAUGUAUGAGGAUGGCCACAGUGAAGCCCCCUAGCAAUGGGGAAUGCAGAGCCUGAACUGGCCAUCUUCUCCAACCAGGCAAGACUUCCAGUGGUGGAGCUGGGACAUCAACCCAGCCACGAAAUCUUCAACCUGCAAUUUGUCCUGCCUGCAAGGUGUGCUGAGGUAAUGGUGACACAGAACUUGUGGUACCGGCCAGCCAACGGCUAGUCCAACUUGAGGGCCAAGAACAGACAGAAGCCCUUGCCUGACACUGUCUGUAUAGCCAGGACCCAGAGACUGAAUAGCAGAGAGACCUGGGAUAGAACUAAGCAUGACUAGCCAAAGGAGGAAAAAAUGUCGAUGAAAUGAAUCCUAAUGAUAUUCUGCUAUAAUCCUAGAUUAGUGCCUAGCCCAUCAUCAGAGAGGCUUCAUCUAGCAACUGAUGGGAGCAGAUGCAGAGAUCCACAGCCAAACAUUGGGCAGAGCUCAGGGAACCUGGCAGAAAUGGGGGAGGAAGGAUUAUAGGAGCCAGAGGGGUCAAGGAUACCACUAGAGCACAACCGAUAGAAUCAGAUAAACAGGGCUCAUAGGGGCUCACAGAGACUGUACCAACAAUCACAGAGUCUGUAUGGGUCCAAGCUAGGAUCUCUGCAUAAACGUUAUGGUUACAUAGCUUGGUGUUUUUGUGGGACUCCUAACAGUGGAGGUGGCAUGGGGGGAGGGGGACCUACCACUCUCUUUCCUGAGAUUAGGAUCCUUUCCCUCCUACUGGGUUACCUCACCCAGCCUUGAUAGGAGGGCUUGUACCUUGUCUUUUUGUAACUUUUAUGCUGCAUUUGGCUAAUAUCCCUGGGAGGCCUGCUCUUUUCUGGAGGCAAAGGGAGGAGAAGUGGAUCUGUGGAUGUCAGGGGAUGGGAGGAGUGGAGGGAAAAGAAACUGGUCGGGCUGGAACAUAUGAGAAAGAAUAAAAAGAAAGACAGGGAGUUAUCUGUUGGGUUCAUCACACUGUUUCAGACAUGGGGGUUUCACUGUCUGAUUCAGCUUGGAUAACUGAUAUUGGGGCCCUGAAGUCAGCCUUGAAGGUUCAUUGUGGUGAAUAAAUUGACCAUGCUGGCAGUCAGCAGUGCACACACACAGUGGCACUAGAGACUGCUGAAGUGUGCUCCAAGUGAAGGGGUUGUUAAGUGAACUUGGCAUGCCAAUAGAAUGCACG